Herpailurus yagouaroundi (jaguarundi) is the source of this 2709-nucleotide long non-coding RNA. RefSeq lists it as uncharacterized. The record is from RefSeq and is a predicted model, not a curated record. Lineage: Eukaryota; Metazoa; Chordata; Mammalia; Carnivora; Felidae. The transcript has 5 exons.
GUCUCAAAAAUAAACAAACGUUAAAAAAAUUUUUUUAAUAAAAAUUUUUAAAAAAGGUGGAUGUGAGCAUGAGGUCAAAUCCACUUUUUCAACAUCAACAGAGUGACAGAUAAUCCAUGCCAUACCUAAAAAUAUGUCUCAUGGAUCUCCAUGCAAUAGACAAUUUACUAAUUUCAGUUUUUGUUUUUGUUUUUUAUUUUUUGUUUUUAACUCUCAUUCAUCAUUUCUAGCAAGUCAACAGUCCUUCUCCCAAGACCCUGUUUUAAUUGUGAAGGCAGCUGAUACUGCACUCUGGGCCAAAAUUUCUUAGAACCGUGUUGCUACUUCAGACAUUUGGUUCUAGGCAGAAACUGAGGAAAUAGGUAUACUCUGGAGGUAUGUCACAAGAAAGAUAUCGGUCUCAAAACCGGGUGUGUGCUCAUGUAAACCAGCACCCGUAAGGGGGAAAAAAUCUUUUUGUAAUAUAGAGGGGAAAAAAAAGCAGAGACUCUGUCUUUCCGGGCCAUUUCUUUGAGGGGAAAGGGAGGAAGGGGUGUGGAGGGGAAGAAGGAAAAAACAAACUUUAUUUUUGGACGGAAAAUGAGUAAAGGAUGUAUUAGACCCAUCAACAUCAACUCUGAAAUACAAAGUUUCCUUCAGUGUAUUCCAAAAUGAACAAGAGAUUUUCCAAGCUUCCUAAGAUCCUGGGUUCCUUGAAAGUACCAAAAACACAAUGGCUCAUUUUGGAACCAUCACUCCUAAGGCUGGACAGAAUUAAAUUAGGGAUAAUUUUUACUUUUCCAACAAGGUGUGUGGCGGGCUGUUUAUGUUUCUCUUUUAGAAUUUUAAUAACACUAAUUCUUAUCGAAGAGUCCUAAAUCAACCUGUCUCAGAAAAUCACUUUCUUUAUUCAUACAAUGAAACAAAAUCCUAAAUAUACCUUUGAGAACGGUACUCAAUUAUAAUAAUUUGAUUUACCUUCUAUUGCUUCAUACAAUCACUGAUUAUUUAAAAAAAAAAAAACUCAAAAAGCUUUUGGACCAUACUCUUCUUUUCUGAAAUAACUGUUCUGUAAAUAGUAAACCUAUUAUAGCAUAGGCAGUACUAUACCUUUUCCUCAGGGGGGAAAAUCAGAUUCACCUUUUUUCUGUCCCAAUUAUUUUCUUUUUUUUUAAUUUAAUUGUAAUAACACUUAACAUGAGAUCUUCUCUCUUAAAUUCUUUCUCUACCUAAUAUAUUCAAGUUUGAGUUAGAGCAUACUUUCUACCUUAAAGUAAAAUGUUACAAGCAUUAAACAUUGAGUCACUCAUUAACAUAUAAGGACUGGACAAAGGUAGAAAGACAUUUAAGUUUUUCCUGCACAAAGGAGGCAUGUGUUAUCAUGGCUAUCACACUCCUUCAUAAAGCAACAAUAGAUCUCCUUCCAGAAACAUCAUUUUCAAAAGGAGCAGGUACCCAGCUGUAAACAUCAUGAAGGAUGUGACGGGAGGGCGGCUUCCCUCCUUUAGGAGCUGUAUAUACAUUAAUCACUGAAUCACCAAGCCAUGCUUAAUUGCAAGCUGUAUAUCACACAAAUCCAUGGAAUGCAGAAAAGGUAUUACACCACUAAUUACAGCCCACACCAGCACCCCCACCUGAGCUGCCUGAAAGAAAAACGGAACUGUCUCAGAUCUGCAGCCAUCCCAAGCUUCUGCCUCAUUGCCACUAAAUGGUGGAGCUGAUAUCCAAAGCCCUGAGACCCAUUUCUGUACUUACUAGUCAGGAAAAUAUGAUGGUGACUAUGGAGUCUGGAAAGGGGAAGCCAAGAAGCUAAGCAGAUCCAGAAGACUUGGACAAACUAAAAGCUGUCAGACUAACAACAGGGCAAAGGCAGGACUUGCGCACCAAGGCACACAGGUUUAGCAGCAAUAUGCAGAAGAAACUCAAGGUUCCCAAGUUUACCAGGUGAGAAAGACAGAAUGAAGAAAUUACAUUGACUUCAAGUCAGGAAACUUGAGUUUGCAUCUCUAUUUUGCUCCUCUCUCCAAUGCUGUAUUCUUGGGGAAAUUACCCUCCCCGGACCUCUAUGUCCUCCUCUGUAAACGUCAGAGAGUUCAUCCAGGUCACUUUUUAUAGACUUUAAGCUCAAUUAUUCUAGACCGCUUCUGUCAUCACCAAUUUGUGUACUGUUAAGCCAAUAAUGCAUUUCUUAUGUUCAGAGAAGUUUUUAUUAACUAUCUGUUGUGCAUAACAAAUCUGUUAUUAGAGCUGUUUUCCAAGUAUGACUAGUCUACCCUCUUUGGAUUCCAAGGUAAGAAUGGAGCUUUGUCAUCAAUUCUGCCAAUGAGCUGUGGUAUAUUUACUUGCCAACGCAAAACCCUUCAGAACACUUCCCUUUGGCUCAGUGUCCAGUGAUAUUCAAGAUGUCAACUGCUCUGCCAUCUUAAGUCCCUGUGUGACGAAAAUGAUCAGAUUCUUUCUGCCAACCUACCAUGUACAGGAAGCAUAGCAAGAAAUAUAUCCAUAUUGUUUUACAUCUUUGAGAUUCUGGAGUUAGUUGUUACUGCAGCCUAACUUAGCCAGACCAAACUGACACAAGCAGCAGUCUGAAAUUAAAAUUACUGUUAUUCCCCUAUUAUUCUUGUAAUUAUGACCUAUAAUAAAAAAUGUUUUGGGGGUGCCUGGGUGGCUCAGUUGGUUAAACGUCUGACUCUUUGUUUUGGCUCAGGACAUGAUCUUGUGGCUCCUGAG